CUCAGGUUCUGGAUGAUGGCUAUGGGCAGGAAAGAUCUCUUGUAGCGGUCUGUUUUACAACCAAUUUGAAGAAGCCUUUGACUGAAGAGACUCCAAUGUCAUGAAAAGGAUGUUCAGGAUAGUCCAUAAUUUUCUUGAUUUUAUGCAAAAUCCUUCUUUGCAUCAUCGACUCCAGAGGUUCCACAGUCAUCCCCAGAACAGAGCCAGCCUUCUUUUUCAGGUUGUUGAGCCUUUUUAGGUUCCUGGCUCUGAUACUGCAGAUGAUGGCAGAGGUGAUGACACUCUCAACAACAGACUUAUAGAAGACAUGAAACAUCUUGCUUGAAACCUUAAAGAACCUACGCUUCCUCAAAAAAUACAGUCUGUUCUGUCCUUUCUUGUAGAUGGCUUCACUGUUGCAUCUCCAGUCUGUUGUCCAGAUGAACACCAAGGGAGGAGGAGAGACGACCCCAAGGAAACCCCCCGACAGCCACAAUGCUGAAGCCCCCAGGAGCCACGGGGACAAGCCCGUGGACUCCGUCAGCAGCCAGCUAUGGCGGAGAGGUCCGGCCAUGGGCCCUAGGGACCCGAGGCCCCAGGGGUGCCCCGCCCCCCGACAGGGGCUCUGACCGAGCCAGGCCCUGAGAAGCAGCUGCCAGGAGCGAGCCAGUACCCAUCCAGGCACCAAGGCCUGGACACACAGUACCACCAAUGCACCACCAGCCCAAGAGGUCCACCAGCGGAGUUCCUCUGCCUGCCUGGACCUGCUUUCUCACCUGCCACCUUGGAUUGCCCAGCUUCAACCUCCUGCUUGUCUGACACUGAUUACAAGGAUUGCCCUCAGCGCUGACUAAUUUUACAGAUCUGACCACUACCUGCCUGACCAAGAGAACCACUAAAUAAAAUCAACCUAACCUUGCCAACUG
Fundulus heteroclitus (mummichog) is the source of this 905-nucleotide long non-coding RNA. RefSeq lists it as uncharacterized. The transcript is spliced from 3 exons. NCBI's taxonomy places the organism in Eukaryota, Metazoa, Chordata, Actinopteri, Cyprinodontiformes, Fundulidae. The record is from RefSeq and is a predicted model, not a curated record.